Molecule: ribosomal RNA, 432 nt
Filed under: uncultured bacterium
Lineage: Bacteria
Description: partial 16S ribosomal RNA
Rfam family: Bacterial small subunit ribosomal RNA
Source: RNAcentral
AACGAACGCUGGCGGCAUGCCUAACACAUGCAAGUCGAACGAGACCUUCGGGUCUAGUGGCGCACGGGUGCGUAACGCGUGGGAACCUGCCCUUAGGUUCGGAAUAACUCCCCGAAAGGGGUGCUAAUACCGGAUAAUGUCUUCGGACCAAAGAUCUAUCGCCUCUGGAUGGGCCCGCGUUGGAUUUGCUAGUUGGUAGGGUAAACGCCUACCAAGGCGGCGAUCCAUAGCUGGUGUGUGAGGAUGAUCAGCGACACUGGGACAGGGACAAGGCCCAGACGGCUGGCAGAAGCAGCAGUGGGGAAAAUUGGGGAGGGAGCGAAAGCCUGAACCAGCAAGGGCGCGAGAGUGGUGUAGGGGUUGGAAUUGGAAUGCGCUUUUACCGGGGAGGAUAAUAAGGGAACGGGGAAAAAAGGCUCGGGCAAAUACGUG